UGCCGGCGACCGGCGACGGGUGCGUAACGCGUAUGUAACCGUACCUUUGACAGGGGGAUAACAUCGAGAAAUUGGUACUAAUACCCCAUAACAUCACCGGAGGCAUCUUCGGUGGUUGAAAACUCAGGUGGUCAGAGAUGGACAUGCGUUGUAUUAGCUAGUUGGUGAGGUAACGGCUCACCAAGGCGACGAUACAUAGGGGGACUGAGAGGUCAACCCCCCACAUUGGUACUGAGACACGGACCAAACUCCUACGGGAGGCAGCAG
This 267-nucleotide ribosomal RNA is filed under the name uncultured bacterium. RNAcentral describes it as "partial 16S ribosomal RNA". It matches the Rfam family "Bacterial small subunit ribosomal RNA", at positions 86 to 354 of the family's 1533-position model. The record is from RNAcentral.